AUGAGCCAUCAGAUCGAUCUGAAGACGAGCGCCUGCACCAUGGCCGCCGCCGGCGACGACGACGACUGGGUGUACAUCGACGGUGACCAAGACACGAAGGCUUCACCGGCGCCGGCGCUAUGUGCCUCUGAUAGCCUCGAGGAGUCGGAGCAUUGCGAUCUCGACUACCUCACAAGGAAAAAGGAUUCCCGGAUCAGGAUGGAUGUCCGCGCCCCGGCGCCUGACGAUGCUGCGACGGAGGUGGUGGCGCCUACCGCGGACGCCGUCGGUGAUGGCGCUGUGGAUGACGCCGACGCCGUGGAAGACGAAGACGGCUGCUCUGACUACUCCAACGGAGUUCGCCUCGAGAAAGCCUACGAGUCGGACCAAGACCUAGGUCAAGUCGACGACGAGUCUGAGCGGCAUGAGGAUGGGGCGUCCGACCUGAGGCUGAGGGGACUGCUCGACAACCUCAAGACCAUCGAAAGUAAACUGCUCCACUGCCAGAGGGAACUGCUGGACUGCCAAAAAUCCAUCCAAGACCACCGCAAGCCACCCCCGCACCGGCACCGGCGCCGUCAGCGCACGGCUACAACUCUCGCCACUCAGCCUAUAUGA
Molecule: ribosomal RNA, 597 nt
Filed under: Triticum aestivum (bread wheat)
Lineage: Eukaryota; Viridiplantae; Streptophyta; Magnoliopsida; Poales; Poaceae
Description: partial small subunit ribosomal RNA
Source: RNAcentral